CAGUCGCCACGGUAAUACGUAGGGCGCAAGCGUUGUCCGGAAUUAUUGGGCGUAAAGAGCUCGUAGGCGGUCUGUCGCGUCUGGUGUGAAAUCCCGAGGCUCAACCUCGGGCUUGCAUCGGGUACGGGCAGACUAGAGUGCGGUAGGGGAGACUGGAAUUCCUGGUGUAGCGGUGGAAUGCGCAGAUAUCAGGAGGAACACCGAUGGCGAAGGCAGGUCUCUGGGCCGCAACUGACGCUGAGGAGCGAAAGCAUGGGGAGCGAACAGGAUUAGAGACCCCCGUAGUCCCUGUCUCUUAUAC
Molecule: ribosomal RNA, 301 nt
Filed under: uncultured bacterium
Lineage: Bacteria
Description: partial 16S ribosomal RNA
Rfam family: Bacterial small subunit ribosomal RNA
Source: RNAcentral